Molecule: ribosomal RNA, 654 nt
Filed under: uncultured archaeon
Lineage: Archaea
Description: bacterial SSU rRNA
Rfam family: Archaeal small subunit ribosomal RNA
Source: RNAcentral
GCCUAAAGCGUCCGUAGCCUGUUCUAUAAGUUUCCGGUUAAAUCCACUAGCUCAACUAAUGGGCUGCCGAAAAUACUGUAGAACUAGGGAGUGGGAGAGGUAGACGGUAUUCAGUAGGAAGGGGUAAAAUCCUUUGAUCUAUUGAGGACCACCUGUGGCGAAGGCGGUCUACCAGAACACGUUCGACGGUGAGGGAUGAAAGCUGGGGGAGCAAACCGGAUUAGAUACCCGGGUAGUCCCAGCUGUAAACGAUGCAGACUCGGUGAUGCGCUGGCUUGUGGCCAGUGCAGUGCCGCAGGGAAGCCGUUAAGUUUGCCGCCUGGGAAGUACGUACGCAAGUAUGAAACUUAAAGGAAUUGGCGGGGGAGCACCACAAGGGGUGAAGCCUGCGGUUCAAUUGGAGUCAACGCCAGAAAUCUUACCCGAAGAGACAGCAGAAUGAAGGUCAAGCUGGAGACUUUACCAGACAAGCUGAGAAGUGGUGCAUGGCCGUCGCCAGCUCGUGCCGUGAGAUGUCCUGUUAAGUCAGGUAACGAGCGAGAUCCCUGCCUCUAGUUGCCACCAUUACUCUCAGGAGUAGUGGGGCGAAUUAGCGGGACCGCCGCAGUUAAUGCGGAGGAAGGAAGGGGCCACGGCAGGUCAGUAUGCCCCGAA